GACGAACGCUGGCGGCGUGCCUAAUACAUGCAAGUCGAGCGGUGAAGGCUGGUUCUUGUUCUAGAUGGAGGAGCAGCGAACGGGGGAGUAAUGCGUGAGGAGUCUGCCUUCUAGCCGCGGACAACAUUUGGAAACGAAUGCUAAUACCUCAUAAAAACUUGAAACACAAGGUGGAAGCUUGAAAGAUGCAAUUGCAUCAAGUAAAGGUGGUUCCGCGUUGUAUGAGCUAGCUGGUGAGGUGAGGGGUCACCAAGGCGCAGAUACAUAGCCGACCUGAGAGGGUGGUCGGUCGCAUUGGGCAUGGGACAUGGCCCACACUCCUGAGGGAGGCAGCAGUAAGGAAUCUUCGGCAAUGGACGAAAGUCUGACCGCUCAACCCCGGGUGCGUGGUGAAGGUUUUCGGAUCGUGAAACUCUGUUGGUAGAGGAGAGCGUUGGUGCGAGUGGAAAGCUCAUGAAGUGACGGUAGCUGCACAGAAAGCGACGGCUAACUACGUG
This 497-nucleotide ribosomal RNA is filed under the name uncultured bacterium. RNAcentral's name for it is "partial 16S ribosomal RNA". It matches the Rfam family "Bacterial small subunit ribosomal RNA", at positions 28 to 507 of the family's 1533-position model. The record is from RNAcentral.